This 125-nucleotide small RNA is filed under the name Marmota monax (woodchuck). The record is from RNAcentral. Lineage: Eukaryota; Metazoa; Chordata; Mammalia; Rodentia; Sciuridae.
GCCAGGCACGGUGGCACGCGCCUGUAAUCCCAGCAGCUCCGGAAGCUGAGGCAGGAGGAUCACAAAUUCAAAGCCAGCCUCAGCAAAAGUGAGACGCUAAGUAACUCCGUGAGACCCUGUCUCUA